Molecule: unclassified non-coding RNA, 435 nt
Filed under: Hevea brasiliensis (rubber tree)
Lineage: Eukaryota; Viridiplantae; Streptophyta; Magnoliopsida; Malpighiales; Euphorbiaceae
Source: RNAcentral
CUAAUGGAUUUGAAGUGAGUGCUCCUCUUUUAAGAGGUUUAAUUGCUCUGCCUGAUGCUUUUAUAGAACCUUUUCGUAGGAAAUUGUAUAUUUGUUUUAACUGGAAAUUUUUAGCGGCUGCUAGUUUUAUGUGCAGCAGCAUGACUGCAAAAUAUGGAAAAUUUUGUUUAGCUGCUCCAUUUUCUUAGUGACUCCAGACUCGCUCUGUAUUCACCAUAAAAGCCUAGUAUUUGCCUUUAGGGUUUUGAAAUUUUGCCAUUGCAUUAGGAAUUGCCAUUUGUAGUUUGCGCAUUGUGUUCUUAUCUACUGCAUGGUAGUUUGUUCAGAUUAUUAAGUUUAGGAUGGACUUUGUCCUGAUGACUAAACUUGGGGAACAUAACAUAUUAUUAGAAAGGAUCGUGUAAAGUGACUGCAUGCCCCAGGUUCUGAGAGCGG